UGGAAGGAAAGCAGUCUCUGCAUAUGAAGGCAACAUUCAGAUACAGGGACCUUCCUAUUUCUAUGUUCCCAUUAAUACAGGUGUAAAAGCAAUAAUACAUUUUGUCUGACUUUUUAAUUCUCAGAAUUCAAUGUUAAAUAUGAAGCAAACUCAGAAACUUGUACAUAUUCCACACUGAUUUCACUUUGGGCCGUGAAGAAUUCCCUCAUUCAGCACCCACCAUGACCUACAGAACUGAGAUGACUAAGGUUAAGGCUGUACCUUCUAAGACAAGGAGACGUUUCUUUGCUCCAGCAGAACGUUCCAUUUCUUAUGGUGAUACUUGCAUGUACUAAAAUAUGAGGAGAAGAAGAACACUUGUGAAAUUCAAAGGCACCACUGAAUAAUGGACACUACUCCUCUUGUAAGACAAUACUAAGACAGAAGCUCACCACAGUCAGAAGUGUUUCUUUUUGAGCUCUCAGGAUUCAGUUCUUCCAGAUUCAGAAAAGCUGCUAAGCGGUU
This is a long non-coding RNA of Oxyura jamaicensis (ruddy duck), 504 nucleotides long. RefSeq lists it as uncharacterized. The record is from RefSeq and is a predicted model, not a curated record. Lineage: Eukaryota; Metazoa; Chordata; Aves; Anseriformes; Anatidae. The transcript has 2 exons.